AGGCAUUAAAAUAUUGCAAACUGUUCAAGAUUUCUGCAACUUCUAUCAGUUUCAUAUACAAUCAAGCUUUAAAAUAUUGCAAACUGUUCAAGAUUUCUCCGACUUUUAUCAGUUUCAAAUACAAUCAAGAUAAAUAUGCCACUCGACAAAGAAGAAAAGAGGAAACGAGCAAAUUUAGCUUCUAAAAAUGGCGCUCAAAUCUAUCAGAAGCUAGAAAAAUAGAAAUAAAUGAGAAAAAUCGAAUUGCAUACCGAACAAAAAAACUCAAACAAACAGAAGCCACUCAUUACCAAAUAGGUUAGUUUAUAUUGUGGAAUAAUUCAUACUACACAAUCAAUAUAAAUAAAAAUAAGUUUUAGUUACCUUUGCUAAAUUGAUAAUCUCAUUUUCAGAUAAAACACCAACAAUUGAUGAUCGUUACCAAAAUAGGAGUACCAUAUUUAAAGUUGGUUAGUUAUAUAUACCCUUAUCUCUUACUCAAUUUUUAUGUAUCUACAAAAAUUAUUAACCUAGUAAAUAAACUAUUAUAGGAUCUACUUCUUCGCAACAAGAACAGAACAGAUCUUAUAAUGGACCAUAUAUACACACCAGUCUUCUUAUACACCAAAAUUUAAAUGAUAUACCAAAUGAACUAACAUUAUUACCACAACCUUCUAUUUGCAAACAUUAUCAAGCAAAGCGAUUUACCCAU
Molecule: long non-coding RNA, 691 nt
Organism: Cannabis sativa
Lineage: Eukaryota; Viridiplantae; Streptophyta; Magnoliopsida; Rosales; Cannabaceae
Exons: 3
Source: RefSeq, a predicted model, not a curated record